This 107-nucleotide ribosomal RNA is filed under the name uncultured bacterium. RNAcentral describes it as "partial 16S ribosomal RNA". It matches the Rfam family "Bacterial small subunit ribosomal RNA", at positions 1379 to 1482 of the family's 1533-position model. The record is from RNAcentral.
CCUUGUACACACCGCCCGUCACACCAUGGGAGUUGGUUCGACCUUAAGCCGGUGCGCCAACCUAGCAAUAGGGGUAGCCGACCACGGUCGGGUCAGCGACUGGGGUG